GGUAAAUUAAAGAUGGCUGAACGGUUGUGCUUCGUGGUAUGUGGACAGCGUUACGUGUGGCUUGUCCUGUGUGGAGAUCUGAGGGGAAGUCGGAUUUGACCACUGGAUGACAGCAUGGGAUUCUGAGAGGAAGUAGAAGUUGCCAGUUUCUUAGGGUCUGGGAAUAAAAACCAGCACAGCUUUACUUCAGACUUUUUCUGUCUAUGGAGCCCUGUCACAGAACGUUCUCAUAGUCAUCGGAAUGGGUCAGUGGUGGUCUGGUCUUGCUGCCAUCCCCUACUGCAAAUGAGGUUCAGAUUGAAGAAGCAGCCCUUUCCUCGGGCCACUGGAAUCCUUCUGGAAAAAAUACAGGAGAAACGGAGGAAACACAUGAUGACUGUCGAGGGACUGUCUGUCCUUUCUGCUCACGUUGCCUUGGCCAAAGCAAGUUACAUGGUCAAGCCUGAUGGUCGUCAUCAGGAGAAGUUUUGAUUUUCCAGCAGGACAGGGCGGUGAAUACAAUGGGUCUAUCCUAUAACCUACUGCAGCGGAUUAAGCUAAACACUAUAUUGAUUAAAUCUAUGUUACUACCACACAUAACUACACAAUGGUUUAUUUUUGUAUUAUCUGCAAUGUUAAUACACACAAUAAUUAAGAAGAGUUUG
RNAcentral lists this long non-coding RNA (644 nucleotides) under Mustela putorius furo (domestic ferret). RNAcentral's name for it is "lncRNA (ENSMPUG00000024812.1)". Lineage: Eukaryota; Metazoa; Chordata; Mammalia; Carnivora; Mustelidae. The record is from RNAcentral.